AAGACUAUAGACCUGCGGAGUACCUGCGGAAGGAUCAUUAACGUAUCUAUGAUGGGGUGCGGAGCGCCCUGCUCCGGUCGAACGGCCGUGCAGCGGGUGCGCCGCCCCCGUCCCACCUCACAAACCCACUGUGAACAUUCACCGGUGGAGGGGGCUCGGUCUGCGCCGUGUCCCCGAUGCCGAAUACCCCAACUCCAGUUGCAAAGAACGUCGUGCGGACUCGGUGCCGCCUAAAACAUG
Molecule: unclassified non-coding RNA, 240 nt
Filed under: soil metagenome
Description: partial contains 5.8S ribosomal RNA, internal transcribed spacer 2, and large subunit ribosomal RNA
Source: RNAcentral